Paramuricea clavata is the source of this 257-nucleotide non-coding RNA. The record is from the annotation of a GenBank genome assembly. Lineage: Eukaryota; Metazoa; Cnidaria; Anthozoa; Malacalcyonacea; Plexauridae.
CCCUCGUUUACCUAGACCCCUUUGUGGCAUAGCAAUUUGCGCUGUUUACCAUCCACCUGGCCUACCCCAGGACGAUCAUCAGUCACUAAAGGAAUAUCUAUCUUCCACCAUUGAUUUGCUGUGCAACCGAUACCCUAACUGUGGUAUCAUCCUUCUUGGGGACUUUAACGACCUAGAAAUAUCUCUCCCGUCAGCAAGACAUAAUUUAAAGCAAGUCGUCAAAGCCCCCACUAGAGGUUCAUCAAUCCUUGACCUCA